UAAGAAUUUUCUAACAAAAAUUCAAUUGAUUUGGAUAUCUUUACGUCGUUAAACGAGAAAACGCCUCUUAUCGACCAUUAAAAUUACAAAUUUUGAAACCCUUUGAUCAUUAGGCAAAUGAUGUCGAAAAGAUUUGAAAUUUAAUUUCUAAACACUUCAAGUGGUAUAGAUCAUAUUCAACGGAGCUGAUCGUCAAUUUGGAAGUUCUAUCAUCGAAAACAAAUCGGUAGUAAAACGGCACGUUUACUACCGAUAGUAUUCUAGCUCAACUCUAUAUAUAUAUAUAUAUAGAGAGAGAGAGAGAGAGAGAGAGAGAGAG
RNAcentral lists this long non-coding RNA (319 nucleotides) under Ananas comosus (pineapple). RNAcentral describes it as "long non-coding RNA (ACOM_LNC033772)". Lineage: Eukaryota; Viridiplantae; Streptophyta; Magnoliopsida; Poales; Bromeliaceae. The record is from RNAcentral.